GUUUGUUUGUUUUCUCGUGUGUCUUCACAGAAGCGUGUUCAACUGUUUUAGGUAGUUUAACCAGAUGUCAAUCUUCAAAGCUAGCCAGCUGAUUGGCUCUUCAAACCUAGGCAGCUGACUUGCUCUGCCAGGUCCCCCAGGGAGCCACCUCCCACCCCCCCCAACUGAAAACCAGACUUUGUUAAACCACAACAUCUCAGAAAUUCCUGAGGCCACAGUAGAAAAGCUCUGACUCUAUAUCUGAUGGCUGUCUGUGCUGAUCCAAUUCCUGAUUUUAUGACCAGUAAUGCUGAUAAAGAUCACAGACGUGCUGUUAGUGGCAACAAUAAACUGUUGAAAUGUGCAUAAAUAUUAAUAGAUGUUACUUGUCUGCAAGACAGCUAUUUCCUUUCAGGCUUGAUUCCUGUUAGCUCAGCGGUUUUAGGAGUUGCAGCAGACUGUAACAGCCCCUCUGAUCUCUAGGUUGUUUUUGUGAUUGGUUGUUUGCUGCGCCUCUCAAAAAUCUUGCUUCUCUCUACAUUAUCUCAUCCACUUUGCCUGUCAUCUGCCUUCCCACUGUGAAAUCUGGAAGAUAGUUUUCCCUUGAUGAGUUCAGUUCCAUCUGAGUGAGAGAAACUUCGAUUCAUAGGAUUCUCCAUGAUCAAAUCAACAUUAAUUUUAAAGAAGAAUCUAAUAAAUAAAUUCCAUAGUGCAUGACAUAACACGUCAACUGAUGCUUCUUUUCCAAUAGCCAAAUAGUAAGAAGAAGAUAGCUUGAUUAGUGACAUUCUAAUCCUGGGGAGCCUCAGGCAAAAUGCUCAUUUCACACAGAAUCAUAUGAUGGGAAGGAUGGGUUGGGCUGGAAGGGACCACAGUGUAUCCUCUGGUACAACCUCCCUGCUCAGGCACAGAACUGUGUCCAGAUGGAAUAUACUGGAAUAUACUAGAAUAUUCCCAGUAAGGGACACUGCAGAGCCUCUUAAGUGCCCUAUAGACGGAUUAUUUAGCUGCAUAAUUGGUGUUAGCCACAGGUUACUGAAGUAGAUCCAGCAGAGGUCAUGGAGGUGGUGAGGGGUCUGGAACAUCUCUCUUAUGAGGAAAAAACUCCAGGAGAAGGGCCUGUUUAGUUUGAAGAAGAGAAGAUUGGGAGGACCUCUUCAAUGCCUACAAUAAGGGAAAAAAGCAAACUGACCUUGACAGGUGAAAAAGGAAUAGCGAUGACUCAUAUCUUCUAAAUGUACAAGAUGAGAACAAAUUUCCUAUGCUAGAAUUAGAGUAUUUCCACUUACCAUUACCAGGGACUGGAGCAUCUCUCUUAUGAGGAAAGGCUGAGGAAGCUGGGCCUGCUCAGUCUCAAGAAGAGACAACUGAGAGGGGACCUCAUCAAUGUCUGUCAGUGCCUGCAGGGAGGGGUCAGAGCAGGGACCAGGCUCUGCUCAGUGGUGCCCAGCAAUGGGACAAGAAGCAAGGGACAGAAAUACAUGCACAGGAAGUUCCGCCUGAACAUGAGGAAGAAAUUCUUUCCUGUGCAGUGACUGGGCACUGGAACAGAUCACACAGAGAGGGUGUGGAGUGUCCCUCACUGGAGAUAUUUCAGAACCAUCUGGAUGCAAUCCUGUGCCAUGUGCUCUGCGAUGACUCUGCUUAAGCAGGGGUUGGACCAGAUGACCCACUGUGACUUACUGUGACCCACUGAUUUCAGCCUCAACCAUUUUGGGAUUCUGUGAUUCUGUGGUGUGAGAAUAUAAACAUUCCCUCUGUCUUACUAAAGAGAUAAAGACACAAGAAAAGACAAAGAACUUUUGGUAUAUAUGCAACUUUUGGUCUAUAUAAUUGCAUAGAAAUAUUUGAUAGCUACACUCGUUCUCAAGGAUAGACUAACUGUUCAAAAUCAAAUCUCUUCUUCCUGAAACAAUUUUUUGCCCCUAUUAGUUAUAGAGAGUGAAGUCAUCAAAAGCCUUUCUUCUGAUUAAUAAAGAGAGAAGUGGAGGCGUUAAGAAAGAGGCAUU
Molecule: long non-coding RNA, 1988 nt
Organism: Passer domesticus (house sparrow)
Lineage: Eukaryota; Metazoa; Chordata; Aves; Passeriformes; Passeridae
Exons: 5
Source: RefSeq, a predicted model, not a curated record